RNAcentral lists this ribosomal RNA (335 nucleotides) under Acontias occidentalis. RNAcentral describes it as "partial 16S ribosomal RNA". It matches the Rfam family "Bacterial large subunit ribosomal RNA", at positions 1852 to 2397 of the family's 2925-position model. The record is from RNAcentral. Lineage: Eukaryota; Metazoa; Chordata; Lepidosauria; Squamata; Scincidae.
GUCCCGCCUGCCCAGUGAUAUAUUUUAACGGCCGCGGUAUUCUAACCGUGCAAAGGUAGCGUAAUCACUUGUCUUCUAAAUAAAGACCAGUAUGAACGGCUAAAUGAGGACAAAUCUGUCUCCUGCGACAAAUCAGUGAAACUGAUCUCCCAGUACAAAAGCUGGAAUAAACACAUAAGACGAGAAGACCCUGUGGAGCUUAUAAAUAAGCGGUCAACAAAUCACAACCAAAACAAUAAUGAUCGUACAUUUUAAGUUGGGGCGACUUCGGAAAAAAACAAAACUUCCGAGAAAGAGGCCACCAAACCCAACCUAAGGUAUACAAACCUAAGGCA